UAGUUGCAGGCUUGUAGCCUAAUUUAUAAAAAUCUAUUCAAUAGAUCGGCCAAAAAAUCAAGAGUAAACUAUCCACUUCAAUAAACUAAUUCCUUCAAAGUUUAUCAAUUAUCACAUUAGUGAUUAGAAAGUUACAUGCUCUACAUCCAAGCCGGAGAAUGUGGCUCGGUGAGCUGGUAGUCCUGUCCACUCCUAAACCAGAAUAAGACUUACCUCUUUCUGGUCUCAACUUUAUGUGAUUUAAUCUACCUUGUUCAGAUCAACUUCGCAUAUAUUUGAUACUCGUUCUUGAUAACAAAGUCAAUAAUUUCACUAGGGCUAUUGAACAUUUUGCUUUUGACAAUAUCUACUUAAAAGCCCUGGCUCUUAUCUGAGAACCAAAGCCACACCUAUCUUAAUCUCAUGCUCAAUUAAGUAGUAAAUUAACAGAUUUUUUUGAGCAAAGUAAAUCAACAGAAUAAUAUUAUAUUAUGUAGUAUGCAUUUGUAUGCCUCUAUCCGACUUACUUGGUUGACAUGUUUGAUGCAUCUCAUUAUGGGUGCGUCAAACAAGAAGCUACCUUCUAGAAAUAACGUACCAUGCUCCGCCACCAACAACUACAGCAAUCUAUGGUUUAGAUGACCAAAUUGACCCAAAAAUUAAAGAACCAACUUUCAAAAUAAAGCCUUGUUUUCCUUGCAGUAGUUAAGAAAGGCUUCCAGCCACUUUCUUUCUCGCGGAAAAGGCUCUUCCUAUUUUAGCAAAAAAAAAAAAGGCUCUUCCUAUCACCUUUUUCUCCCUCGUAGUUCACACUACGAAGUGCCUCUGCAGUUGAACAGAGACGGCAAAAACAGGUCCCAAGAAAGAGGUGAGGCCUUGCGAAAGAAGCAGUCAAUAGUCAAUAAGCGCAACUAUAAAAGUCUAUCAUGCUUAGUUCAAGAGGAGAAAUAAAGAAACCAGCAACUGCAUGCUUUCCCAAGCAAAUGAUAGAAUUUAGAAAACUGAAGGGCCACUUUUAGGAAAAUUAAAAAGAUAGUAAAGCUCCAGCAUCUCUGGAUUUUUUUUUUUUUUUUGAUGCAAUCUGCAUCUCUGUUGUUAUGCUGAAGUCGGUAAAUCAAUUUCAGAUUAGAUAACAACACACGCAACAUUGUGAAUUUAUGGUGCCAUAUUAUCUGUCAAAGUUGUGCGUUAAUUUCAUUAUCUUAUACUGCACCUAAAAGUGUGGAAAAAGAAGACGCUGGAGGGGCGCGCACACACACACAUAUAUAUAUAUCAAGCAAG
This 1260-nucleotide long non-coding RNA is filed under the name Phoenix dactylifera (date palm). Its description in RNAcentral is "long non-coding RNA (PDAC_LNC000023)". The record is from RNAcentral. Lineage: Eukaryota; Viridiplantae; Streptophyta; Magnoliopsida; Arecales; Arecaceae.